UGUGGGAGCGGGCUUGCUCGCGAAUGCGCAGUGUCAGUUGAUACAUUCAUCACUGAUACACCGUAUUCGCGAGCAAGCCCGCUCCCACA
Molecule: unclassified non-coding RNA, 89 nt
Filed under: Pseudomonas fluorescens
Lineage: Bacteria; Pseudomonadati; Pseudomonadota; Gammaproteobacteria; Pseudomonadales; Pseudomonadaceae
Source: RNAcentral